This 3008-nucleotide long non-coding RNA is filed under the name Canis lupus familiaris (dog). RNAcentral describes it as "lncRNA (ENSCAFG00845030262.1)". Lineage: Eukaryota; Metazoa; Chordata; Mammalia; Carnivora; Canidae. The record is from RNAcentral.
UUUUUUUUCUUAUGCUUGCUUGAGUUUUGUUUUAUUUUUAAUGCCCCACAAAUCCUGGGCUCAGGGUGGGAGCCGGGGGUUGGGUUGGGGGUUGUGGAAUUAUUUAAACUCUGACAUCUGGAAACUCCUGCCCCAGACAAAGCAGGAGGGAGGGGGAAAGCUAAUUCAGACACCGCAGGUCAUUCUUGAAGAUAUUUAUGGAACGCCAUGUGCUAUCUAUAGGAAAUCUUCAAGCCUACUGCCAAGAGAAUAGGCAACAUUCUGAAGCAGGAAUUGCUACUUUUUAUAAAAAAGGAGAGAAUAUGUAGUGAAGCCUGAGAUCUAGAGUCUGAGAAGUGGAGGACUGAUUUUAAUCCUCCUUCAGUGAUUCAAGUGAAAGCUGCAAAGUUCUUUUUAGAUGAAAAAAGAGAAAAUAAGUCACCAUUGAACUCAAGAUAUUUCCAGAAAGGUCAUUAGAAGCCAUCAUGUCACUCUCUUUAGUUUUUAUAAGCUGUCCAAGUGAAGACAUGAGCUGGGAGUGUCUCUAUCUUGCACAAAGAAGAUUUGAAAGAAACUAGGGUUAAAAGCCAUGAGCAAGAAGCACAUUUAUCUUUCUUCUUUUUCCCUCUCAAACUCACAGGUAUGUAAAAUUGAUAAUGUCUGGUUCGAAGUAUAGACAAGGAAGACAGAAUCAGAGAGCCGAAACACGCAAAUCCCAAUCUCUUCUCCAGUCCCAGCCUCUCCAUUUUGGCGGUGGAGGUCCAAUUAAUCUUGUUCCCCAAAGCUGGGGAUUUGCUAUGGGGCUCCCCCAAGCAGCAGCUAUGCUCCCGACCAUGUGUAGACACCACUGGAUUUCACCCUGCUUUCUAAUCUGGCCACUGGGACUCUGGUCUACACUUGAACUCCAGCUCCCUCUUCCUGGAAGGUUAGGCCUUGUCCCCAAAUCCUAACUGCCACUUCAACGUGGCCCCCUGCCUUCCCAUUACCAUUGUCUCUAUGGCCUAGAUAUCUGUUCCUGAGUUCCUUCAGAUUGUGGGCCACACUAGCUUUGGGGAUGUGCUGACCAGCCCUAUCCACCCCCACCUCAUUCCUUCCUUCACCCCCUCUCCUGAGGUCCACGUAAUCGCUUGUCAUUUCAUGUAUACUGCACCUAUUCUGUUCCAGUCACUGUGCAAGGCGCUGCAGUCACAACAUUAGAUUAGGCAGGACUCUGCCCUCAAGGAGCAGACUAGUAGAAGAGACAACAGGGCGCCUGGGUGGCUCAGUCAGUUGGGCGUCUGACACUUAAUUUCAGCUCAGGUGAUGAUCUCGGGGUCAUGGGAUAGAGCCCCCGCAUCGGGCUCUGUCCUGGGUGUGGAGCCUGCUUGGGAUUCUCUCUCUCCCUCUCCCUCUGACCUUCCCUCCUCCCUCUCUCUCUCUCCCUCUCCAAGAAGAAGAAGAAGAAGAAGAAGAAGAAGAAGAAGAAGCAGCAAAUCAGGGGAUCCCUGGGUGGCGUGGUCCUGGAGACCAGGGAUCAAGUCCCACAUCGGGCUCCCUGCAUGGAGCCUGCUUCUCCCUCUGCCUGUGUCUCUGCCUCUCUCUCUCUCUCUCUCUCUCUCUCUGUCGUUCAUGAAUAAAUAAAUAAAUAAAAUCUUAAAAAAAAAAAAAAGAAACAAGUCAAAGAUUACCAGGAUUGCUGUGAUAAGGAAGUGGACCCUAGUAACCCCACAUUCUCCUCCUCCCGCUGACCUUUGAAGUGGUCUUCAAUUCUUGCACAGGUUCUGGGCCAGUUUUCACAAGAGAUGACCCGUUGGGCUCAGUGGACUGUUAAAACAUAGAAUUCCUUUUUAAAUGAGCAACAUAGAAUGGUCAAGUAUUAUCAAGGAAUAAUAAUUUCAAGAUCACUACUGGCCAAACUCCCAAAAGCCUGGUGCAUAUUUACAGAGGAUUGUUGGAGGGACAAGCAGAUUAGCACUUUAUAGAACUACUAUGAACCGUGGAACCUUCUUGAGGUCCCUGAGGCCUAUCCCUCAGGAUAUCUGAGGGCCUCCAGCAAACCUCUAAUUUAGGCGUUUGAUAGAACUUUGAGGGGUCCAUGGAACACAGUUUGUUCUGGGCAGGCUAAAAUUUAGCAGAAUUUAGCAGAAGAGGGUAGAUAGAUGCCACUCUGUUCUUGAAAUGCCCUCUUCUUUUGAAUUCAUCCACACUGCUCUCUCCCGAGCUCCUUCCUGUAUCCUUGACUGCUUCUUAGUCACUUCUGAAAGUUACUUUCUCUUGGCAUCCAAAACUGAACCCACCAACGUCCCCCACCAAAGCUUAGUCACGCCCCAGCCUCUGCCCAUCUCUCCAGGCUCAUCCAGGCCUCCACCCUCGCUCUCCCCUGGCACCCCGAACUGCAGCCAGACUGGACGUCUUUCGGUUUCUUAGAUUCACCAUACCUGCACUCACAUCCUCACUUUUACACACCAUGUCCCCUCUCCCUAAAUUGCUUGAACAUGGACGGGGGUGCAUGCACAUGCGUGCGCACAUGCACACACACACACCUUUCCUUAGGUGUGUUCACGUUUCAGGUGCCUCUUGUCCCAGGAGGACUUCACUGACCCUACGUCUGCUUGUGGCUUGCCCCUGUUGUGCACUACCAGGACGCCCUGGACGACUAAUUUUGCUGUAAUGUUCAUACACUCUGGGAAGUGCCCGCCACCAAGUAAAAUGAAUUAAAUUUCCCUUUCUGAAAAGUGAGUGUUCUCAAAGUGAAUUGAGGGAUGCGCUCAGAAACAGCGCCAAGAAACACACUGCUGUGUACUCUGUGAGGAUGCUGGUGAGGAUGUUGCGCAUCAUUGGUCUAGAACCUUCUUCCUGAUGACCUCGGGUGGGUGUUUCAUUCCACCGAUUUAGCAAUCGUUGUGCUUCUCCUGGAAGGGGUGUUUUAUCUUAGAGAUGUUUUCAAUUUGUAAAGAAUCAUGUUACCCCUGUUCUCUUGGCUGCUAGAAACCUAAAAGCUAAAUUGGGUCCCACUCUUUAUGGAAUUAAUUUGACGACUCUAUCUCCUU